UGCGGCGCUCUAUACAUGCAAGUCGAACGAGUUCUCGUUGAUGAUCGGUGCUUGCACCGAGAUUCAACAUGGAACGAGUGGCGGACGGGUGAGUAACACGUGGGUAACCUGCCCUUAAGUGGGGGAUAACAUUUGGAAACAGAUGCUAAUACCGCAUAGAUCCAAGAACCGCAUGGUUCUUGGCUGAAAGAUGGCGUAAGCUAUCGCUUUUGGAUGGACCCGCGGCGUAUUAGCUAGUUGGUGAGGUAAUGGCUCACCAAGGCGAUGAUACGUAGCCGAACUGAGAGGUUGAUCGGCCACAUUGGGACUGAGACACGGCCCAAACUCCUACGGGAGGCAGCAGUAGGGAAUCUUCCACAAUGGACGCAAGUCUGAUGGAGCAACGCCGCGUGAGUGAAGAAGGCUUUCGGGUCGUAAAACUCUGUUGUUGGAGAAGAAUGGUCGGCAGAGUAACUGUUGUCGGCGUGACGGUAUCCAACCAGAAAGCCACGGCUAACUACGUGCCAGCAGCCGCGGUAAUACGUAGGUGGCAAGCGUUAUCCGGAUUUAUUGGGCGUAAAGCGAGCGCAGGCGGUUUUUUAAGUCUGAUGUGAAAGCCCUCGGCUUAACCGAGGAAGCGCAUCGGAAACUGGGAAACUUGAGUGCAGAAGAGGACAGUGGAACUCCAUGUGUAGCGGUGAAAUGCGUAGAUAUAUGGAAGAACACCAGUGGCGAAGGCGGCUGUCUGGUCUGUAACUGACGCUGAGGCUCGAAAGCAUGGGUAGCGAACAGGAUUAGAUACCCUGGUAGUCCAUGCCGUAAACGAUGAAUGCUAGGUGUUGGGAGGGUUUCCGCCCUUCAGUGCCGCAGCUAACGCAUUAAGCAUUCCGCCUGGGGAGUACGACCGCAAGGUGACGAGGGAGGGGGGGGGCGGGAUU
This 917-nucleotide ribosomal RNA is filed under the name Lacticaseibacillus paracasei. RNAcentral's name for it is "bacterial SSU rRNA". It matches the Rfam family "Bacterial small subunit ribosomal RNA", at positions 38 to 926 of the family's 1533-position model. The record is from RNAcentral. Lineage: Bacteria; Bacillati; Bacillota; Bacilli; Lactobacillales; Lactobacillaceae.